Molecule: ribosomal RNA, 546 nt
Filed under: uncultured bacterium
Lineage: Bacteria
Description: bacterial SSU rRNA
Rfam family: Bacterial small subunit ribosomal RNA
Source: RNAcentral
UGGGGAAUAUUGCGCAAUGGGGGGAACCCUGACGCAGCCAUGCCGCGUGAAUGAAGAAGGCCUUCGGGUUGUAAAGUUCUUUCGGUAAUGAGGAAGGGAUGUUGUUAAAUAGAUAGCAUCAUUGACGUUAAUUACAGAAGAAGCACCGGCUAACUCCGUGCCAGCAGCCGCGGUAAUACGGAGGGUGCGAGCGUUAAUCGGAAUAACUGGGCGUAAAGGGCACGCAGGCGGACUUUUAAGUGAGAUGUGAAAUCCCCGAGCUUAACUUGGGAACUGCAUUUCAGACUGGGAGUCUAGAGUACUUUAGGGAGGGGUAGAAUUCCACGUGUAGCGGUGAAAUGCGUAGAGAUGUGGAGGAAUACCGAAGGCGGAGGCAGCCCCUUGGGAAUGUACUGACGCUCAUGUGCGAAAGCGUGGGGAGCAAACAGGAUUAGAUACCCUGGUAGUCCACGCUGUAAACGCUGUCGAUUUGGGGAUUGGGCUAUAUGCUUGGUGCCCGAAGCUAACGUGAUAAAUCGACCGCCUGGGGAGUACGGCCGCAAGGUU